This 492-nucleotide ribosomal RNA is filed under the name uncultured bacterium. Its description in RNAcentral is "partial 16S ribosomal RNA". It matches the Rfam family "Bacterial small subunit ribosomal RNA", at positions 28 to 507 of the family's 1533-position model. The record is from RNAcentral.
GAUGAACGCUAGCUACAGGCUUAACACAUGCAAGUCGAGGGGAAACGACAUCGAAAGCUUGCUUUUGAUGGGCGUCGACCGGCGCACGGGUGAGUAACGCGUAUCCAACCUGCCCAUCACUUGGGAAUAACCUUGCGAAAGUAAGACUAAUACCCAAUGCCAUCCCACGAAGACAUCUGAAUGGGGUUAAAGAUUUAUCGGUGAUGGAUGGGGAUGCGUCUGAUUAGCUGGUUGGCGGGGUAACGGCCCACCAAGGCAACGAACAGUAGGUGUUCUGAGGGGAAGGUCCCCCACAAUUGAGCCACGGCCCAGACCCCUCCCCUACGGGGCGGAGGGGUAUGGUAGACUAGGCGAGCGGCGAUAGCCUGAACCAGCCAAGUAGCUUGCAGGAUGACGGCCCUUUGGGUUGUAAACUGCUUUUAUAAGGGAACAACGUGUGUCUCGUGAGACUUUUUGCCUGUACCUUAUGAAUAAGCACCGGCUAAUUCCGUG